GCGAACGGGUGAGUAACACGUAGGUAACCUACCAUAUAGACGAGGACAACAGUUGGAAACGACUGCUAAAACUGGAUAAUAUAUAUUCUUGCAUGAGAGUAUAUUGAAAGCAGCUCAUGGCUGUACUAUAUGAUGGACCUGCGGCGUAUUAGCUAGUUGGUAAGGUAGAGGCUUACCAAGGCAACGAUACGUAGCCGACCUGAGAGGGUGAACGGCCACAUUGGGACUGAGACACGGCCCAA
Molecule: ribosomal RNA, 242 nt
Filed under: uncultured bacterium
Lineage: Bacteria
Description: partial 16S ribosomal RNA
Rfam family: Bacterial small subunit ribosomal RNA
Source: RNAcentral